GAUGAACGCUGGCGGCGUGCCUAAUACAUGCAAGUCGAGCGAACAGACGAGGAGCUUGCUCCUCUGACGUUAGCGGCGGACGGGUGAGUAACACGUGGAUAACCUACCUAUAAGACUGGGAUAACUUCGGGAAACCGGAGCUAAUACCGGAUAAUAUAUUGAACCGCAUGGUUCAAUAGUGAAAGACGGUUUUGCUGUCACUUAUAGAUGGAUCCGCGCCGCAUUAGCUAGUUGGUAAGGUAACGGCUUAUCAAGGCAACGAUGCGUAGCCGACCUGAGAGGGUGAUCGGCCACACUGGAACUGAGACACGGUCCAGACUCCUACGGGAGGCAGCAGUAGGGAAUCUUCCGCAAUGGGCGAAAGCCUGACGGAGCAACGCCGCGUGAGUGAUGAAGGUCUUCGAAUCGUAAAACUCUGUUAUUAGGGAAGAACAAAUGUGUAAGUAACUAUGCACGUCUUGACGGUACCUAAUCAGAAAGCCACGGCUAACUACGUG
This 497-nucleotide ribosomal RNA is filed under the name uncultured bacterium. RNAcentral's name for it is "partial 16S ribosomal RNA". It matches the Rfam family "Bacterial small subunit ribosomal RNA", at positions 28 to 507 of the family's 1533-position model. The record is from RNAcentral.